Cyanistes caeruleus (blue tit) is the source of this 6579-nucleotide long non-coding RNA. RefSeq lists it as uncharacterized. NCBI's taxonomy places the organism in Eukaryota, Metazoa, Chordata, Aves, Passeriformes, Paridae. The record is from RefSeq and is a predicted model, not a curated record.
GGAGGGAUGCAUAUGGAGCGCUGGGUGAGGAAGGGGACAUGGGCUUGGGCCACCAGACCUGUCGAUUCAAGCCUGGAGAUCAGCGUGGUGACGGGUGUCACAGGCAGAUGGCCCUCUCAUCCAUCUUUUGAUAGUUUCUUUUUUUUCUAUAGUAAAAAGUGGAAAGGAGAUUUGAUUUGUAGAUAUAAUUUUUUUCAGCUCAUAAAGAUAGCUGUGUUUGUGUCUUGUAUUGCUCCGUGUUUAAUUUUCAACUGCUUGCAAUGUCUGUAUAAGUUAUAUGUAGACAUUUCUUGGAAUUUUUACAGUUCGUGCCAUGUGUAUAUUUUCACUUAUACAUGAGGAUGUCUAAUAAGUUUUGAAUUUGCCUACAAUUUUUCAGUAUGAAUGAAAUGCUACGAUCCAGGAUUACGAGAUUUUGGUAGGAUGGAGGAGCAGAUAAUUUUUGGAAUAUCUGGAUGUCUUAGCACUUUGCGAUAUAAGCUAGGGCAUAAUUCAGUAACAUGAUAUGUAGGUCAUGUGCUAAUCAGAGUUGUGAAGGAGAAUCUUUUGAAAUAAAAGCCCCACCCAACAAUCACCAGGGAAGAUAUUGGGUCACAGCAGGCUGGCCAUAAGCAAGUAAUGUGUUGAGGCUGUGGAAAAGGUUUGAUUUCAGUGAAAGAAAAAUUAUGCUGUUUUGAGAUGGAGAGGUUACAGCACUGGAGGCCAUAAGUCACGUGUGGGAUUGGUAGGAAAAUACCAGGUUUGACUUAUUCCUGUUUUUUUUUUCACUAACUGCAACUAUAUUAUUUAUGUCAAUUUCAUAGCUACAAAAGGUUCUGGAAAAGCUAUCCAAUACGACUGUAUUUAAAAAUCCGUUACUUUCUGUUCAAGAAAAUAAUAUUUGCAGUGGUUCUGAAAAGAAAUAUCUUUCUUUUAUUCUGCGUCAUAAAUUUUAGUGUCACAAACAUGAUGUACAAGAAAAUGGAUCAAAGUGGAGAAAGAGCAUAGAGUCUUAUUCUGGAGCAGGGGUUUCAUGAUGAAGUGAGAUCAUCUGCAAUGUGUUGCUUAGAACAUGGGGGCAAUAAAUCCACUUAGUGGAGGCAUUUACCAUGAAUUAUUUCACUCGUAGAUAUUUCCAUUUAAAUAUGCUAUGUGGAAGACUUUCUGAAAUUAGUGUUUUCUCAUAGUUGUGGAAUCCAGUGUACAAGUUUUUCCAAGAAAAGUGGAUUUUUAAUGUCACUGAGGACUCUCUGGAAGCCAUUUAACAAAGAUGCCUUGAAGGCUUCUCUGAAGUGUGUCGGAAGUUAGGCUUUUUCUUGUUUGCAUUUGUCUAGACUUUCUAUUUGGUGUGGGGAAAACCUUGGUGUGGCACCUGAGUCACCUGUUUUCACAACUGUAGAGACAAGAGCCUUUAAUUUUACUCUGGUCUUGCUAUGUAUAAAAUGGGCUAGGAGGCUGUACUUGUCUUAGAUAGCUGCAUUCCUUUUCCUGUACACCUUUCGUUUGAAAUCUGGAUAGUUGAAACUCAUUUUCUCCUGUUUCAUUGUAAUUGCUUCAUUGGCAUGUAUUAAGGAAAAUAUUAACACAAGUGAUUUUUAUCUAAAAGAGAAAAAUAAAAAAAGGUAUUGUAAAAUCAAGAUGAUGCAUAAAGAAAAGUUAUUCUCUUCUUCUGAGUAUAUUUGUCAUUGCUUUGGAUAGAAGACUGAAAGUAUGAGGAAGGGACAGCAAACUUAACUCCAAGGUAUGUUGUGUUUAUCUCCAUAACAGGUGGGUUUUCUAGGAAUCCCAGCUAAUCUAAUAUUGGAUCAUUGGUGAAAAUCUCCAAACCAAAUAAUAAAAUAGGUAAAAUCAUUAAUAUCCUUAUCAUAGCAUGUUUGUACAGUGGAGGAUUGGUGUCUUCCUUAUAAACUCAGUUUAGGAAUCAGAAGAACAUGUUGGACUCAACAAUCUUUCAAGUAGAAGCAAUAAUACGAUGGUUUGAAAAGUGGAUAUGCUUUAAAGGAAUCUCUUCAUCUUUCAUGUGAAAUAUAAUGCUGAAGAAAUUUAUUUUCUUCUAUGCUUUGAUGUAAAUUUGACUUAUCUGUUUCUCUCAAAUAACAUGGGUGAUCUCUGGGGCAACUGGAUAUCAGUUCUUGAAUUCUGCAGGCGGUGUCAUUUUCAUUCUUUGAGGGAGAGAAGGGGAAAGGACGAGGCAUGAGGUUAUAAAGCAGUAUAUGCUCAUCCUUACAUAGACCUUCUUGCAAUACUUAUAACCAGAUGUCUGUCUUUCCAGUUAUUGUAUUUUUCUGAUUUCUAUCACCUUGUGUGAUUCGGUGCUAUCUGAUCUUAUUAGGCUAAAUCCCUCUGCAUGAGGUAUGAAAUGCUGCUUUAAUAGCAAAAAAUGCCCAGUAGGAUUGUUCCCUUGGGAACCUUCUACUGAAGGUGAGCUCCCAGCACCUGACACGGAUCUGAUGAUCCAGGCGCUGUCUCGCCGAGGUGCUGGGCUGUCUCAGGUUCUCAUCCGAGGCUCCAUGAUGAUAGCUCUGUUUGCAUUCCGUGCCUUUUCGUGCAUCCUCACUGUGACAGGCAUCAGGGGAAUCACAAAGGCAGCAGAUGGUCUGUGCACAGUUCCCUCAAGCAUAAAACAACAUUUCUGUACUUCUUGUCAGGACCUUAAAUUGCACACUGUUCUGUUUGAUUAUUUUCAAACCCUGCAUUGGCCAUAGGGGCUCAGAUGAGAAAUAUUUGCAUAUCACAAAGUGGGAGCAAGGGCUAAAUUAAAGUGGCAAGCAACUGGAUUGAAACUAAAUUCUAAGUGGAAGUUGUAUGCGCUCGUUUUUAACAACGGUUUAUUUUGUUAUUUUUAAUGAAAGCAGUGACCUCUACUAGAAUUGAACAAGACACAGGUUGUGUACAGUGUGUUUAUGGGGUUUUUUUCUGUUUUCCCUUCACUGGCCAGAUAUACUGGAGUCGUUCAUUUAUGCCUAGACUUAAAAUAAUCAAACCUGUAAUAUGUAACAUGUACACCUAAAAUGUAUAUUCAAAUGUAGGCUAAAGAAUAUGAGUUCCAAAUGAGUUUAUUAUCCUUAAUGUUAUUCUGCUGCAGUUCAAGUAAAUAUAACGUAUUAGUUGCUCAUUGAAUGCAGUACCACUUUUCAAAAUUCAAUUUGCUGUGCAGGAUUUUUCCCAAGAUACAUUGGAUAAUGUCAAGUUUAAAUCUGUACGUGAGUCUACAGAGAUCGCCAUGCAGAUGGAGCUGUGGAAAGCCAGAGGAAAGAUUUUCAUAAGCACAUGGGGCUUCAACAAAUCUGCUUAAUUUGUUUUCCUCCCUGUUGGAGUCUGAAACACAGAGUGUGUACCCUUGUUUCUGAUACCUAGCUCUGAGAUCCAGAAGAACACUGAAUUUCAUAAAAUAUGAAAUUUAUGAGCAUGUUUUUAUAGUGAUAACAUGAAAACAACUAUUGAAGUUAGAUAGAAAAAAGCUAACAGGCUUUGGAGUUUUUGUCCUGACGCAGAGAACUGAAAUAAGCGGGACUCCCCCUGAGGGAAUAUCCCCAAGGAGCUCAGCUCCGAGGAGAUGGAGAAAUCCAGGAGUGAAAAGAAGUGCAGAAGAAGUGCAGCAACAGAAUCAAAAGAGAGAAAAAAGAAACAAAGAAUUAAAGGAAGUUAUAAGUGGUGCUCUGUGAGUGUCAGAGAGAGCUCACAGAAGCCUCUAUCAACGCCUGCCUGGAUCAGAGCAGCCAGUUCCUGAAAGAAAUCUGUCUGGAGAAAAACAUGUGCUAACAAAUUCCAGAGUUCCAAGGGCCUGGGACUCGCGGAACAUUGGAUUAUGCUGGUCAAUAAUCUGAAGAUAGCCAACAGGUCUGGCAAACUGUGUCCAGUCUAGAUAAUGGGAUUGAGUAUCUCUAAAGACGAAUUGUUUGAACCCAGGAUAUAGGAAAAGGCCAGAGGAGCCACAGAGAGGGAGGGAGCCGACCCCACUCUCUGACGAAUUUGAGCACCUAAAGGUGAUGUCAGAAAAGGCUGGUGAAGGGGACAUAGCGGUAUUCGCCCAUCAGACAGGCCCAGGCCACAAGGAGCGGUGGGAUAAGGCGGGAUGGCCGAGCCGCAGAGUGAGCCCGAGCAAAGGGGCGAGAGAUUAGAAGCAAUGUUAGGACGCUGCCAUAGACAGGUGGCGAAGGCUAAGGGGCUGAGCAAAGUCACAAAGGCACGCCCCACAGGGAGACCCAUGACACGGUCCAUGACGAGGAGGAGCCGGCCCUCAGGGGUGAAGGUUGGCGGGGCCUCCCGUGGAGCCGCGCAUGCGCCGAGCCUGCACAGUUCAUUCGGGAAGUAGGCCCAGGAGUGUGACAAAGAGUUGCGAUUUUCCUCUGGGGUCCUGUUUCUGGCACAAGAGGCAAUUGCUCAAAAAGGGAUUUAUCUCCUGGAUAAGAGUUUCCCCCUAAAUAUAAGUUUCUAGAGUUUUUUUUCCCUCAGAUUCAGAACCAGCAGAGGACGGACGGGGCUGGCAGCCAAGGCACGGCCCGAAACGCUGUCGUCGUGGCAACCACCGUUGAAACAAGUAACGGCAUCUUAUUGAAAUAACCGAAAUACAGAAAGCAAGUAACAAAAGAAAAAGAAAAAAAGAAAAAAAGAGACAGUGGAAAGCUAAGAUCAUGUCCUUGAGAAAUAAUUUUCACAACAGCAGAAAUAAUACAUAUCAUAUUUGAGGUGAAAAUGAAAUGGUCAACGGUAACAAGUGGAAGUUUUGUAAUGAUUUAUCCACCUUUGAAAAAAGGAGAUUUUUAAUUAGGCAAUUUAAAAAUUAGAAGCUUUGUAAAUUGUAUUUCUGGUUAAUCUGCAGAUUGUUGUAGUCAUGAUGAAGUUUUAAAAAGAAGUGCCUUCAAAAAUAGAUUAAAAAGUUUAUAGAUCUUGUAUAAUGGUAUAUAUAUGGAUAUUGUAUUUCUAAUGAUAUAUGCUGGGUUUUUUUUUAUAAGUAACAUGGAAAAUUAUGAUAGUUAUGAAUCCCAAGAAAUUUAAAAGAUUCCUGCUUUGUUUCAGUAUUCUCAAUACAUGAAGGUUUUGAAAAUGUUAUCUUCUCUAUACAAUUACUGAUAAUGUAACAUUGUAUGAUAUGGAGUGAUCAGGUAUUACUACUGUAGUUACAGUAAAUUUCUGCAAAGUGCAUCCAAAUAACAAAGAGCUGAUUAAAUUCUAAUUGUUAAGAAUUUUGUUUAAGGAGAGUAAGCUAGGGGCAUUCCUCCAGCUUGAAGCUGAGGCCUCGGCCAAGCCUUGACUUUACCUGGAUGGGGCAUCUACCCAUAAACCUAGAUGUUUUCUGCAUCAAAACAAUGUUCAAGUCAGUUUGACUUGGCAAUUAGUGAAUUAAUAUAGCAGCUGGAUUUUUACAGUGGGCUUGGAAAAUUGCUGUCCAGUCAUGAUUUUCCAAUCUUUCAUUGAUUUAUCAGCUGUGGCAAACUCUGGGAUGAGAGUAUGCAUUCAGUAAUUCAUACUACAGAUGAUUUAGAUAAUUUUAAUAUUGCAUAAUAUUAAUUUUGCAUCUUCUUAACAAGUUCUUGAUUGCUGUAAAAGUGUUAUUUCCUAUAUGUAUACAUGUGCAUGUGUUUUGCUUCAGUGUUUUUUUCAUUGUCAUAACAGGAAAACAGAUACCUUACCUUUGCUUACAAGAGAGGGGGAGAAACAGAGGCUGCGCCUCAGAAGUAUGGAAACCCUAUGUAUUUUGGAGUUUUGAAAAAAGCAUAAAUAUCUGAUAUCUAUUGCAAAUUUCCUGAAUAGUUCUUUUUAAACAGGUCUUUUGCAAAACCAAUUCCAUCAAUUAUCAGGUAUGCUUCUAACAGUACUCAGGCAAAGCUGAGAGAGAAUUCUUUGGUUCUGGUCAAAAGUCCAGAAGCAGGACAGAUUAAAAAUCCAUUUCAAUUAAUAAUUUGGAGGAAAGUGUAUAUUUGUGUAUUCACAGGUUCAAAGCAGAAGUAACUUCCUAAUGAAGAACGUGGAAACUUAUCAGCUGCAGAAACAAGGAGACAACCCAAAGAGCAGAAGAGCGAGCACGCAGAUGUGAACUGUAUCAAGACCAUAGCUGCAGCUGAAGAGCUUUGGUCCCACAUGCAAAAGCAAUGAAUUUUGGCUUUCAUAUAAAAGAGUGGAAAUAUUGAUAUUGUAAAGCCUCAUUUGUUAAAGCAAUGUGUGAAUCGUGUCAAGAUUCAGAAUCUUGCACGAAAGACAAAGCCACUGAAUAUGAGAGUGAAUCAGGUAUCACCCUUGAGCUGUAUCACUUUGUUGAUCACUUUGUGAUGCGAUUUUACCUGCAUCACUUCUUUUAGUUAACUCAAAAGAAAGUGUACCUUAUCUCAGUGAGGAUGGAUUUUUGUAUAAUAUUCAAUUUUUCUGUGUUAAAACAGAAUGAAGAUGAGAUGAUAAAUGUCACUCCUAAUCAUGCUUUAUACAAAAAGACAACAUCUUAGUGUAACUUUACAUCAAUCUUAGUCACACCUGAUUGUGAGGAGUUUGACUCAUAGAAUUUCAGAUGGAGACUUAUAACAACUCAACUUUCAAUUCAAGUAGCUUCAGCAGAAACCUUGAAACAAUUAGAUAAAUUAAACUACUGGUUAAAUAAGCAAGCUA